CAGGCUUAACACAUGCAAGUCGAGGGGCAGCAUGGUCUUAGCUUGCUAAGGCCGAUGGCGACCGGUGCACGGGUGAAUAACACAUAUCCAACCUGCCGUCUACCCUUGGACAGCCUUCUGAAAGGAAGAUUAAUACAGGAUGGCAUCAUGAGUCCGCAUGUUCACAUGAUUAAAGGUAUUCCGGUACACGAUGGGGAUGCGUUCCAUUAGAUAGUAUGCGGGGUAACGGCCCACCUAGUCUUCGAUGGAUAGGGGUUCUGAGAGGAAGGUCCCCCACAUUGGAACUGAUACACGGUCCACACUCCUACGGGAGGCAGCAGAGAGGAAUAUUGGUCAAUGGGCGAGAGCCUGAACCACCCAAGUAGCGUGAAGGAUGACUGCCCUAUGGGUUGUAAACUUCUUUUAUAAAGGAAUAAAGUCGGGUAUGCAUACCCGUUUGCAUGUACUUUAUGAAUAACUGAUCGGCUAACUCCGUGCCAGCAGCCGCGGUAAUACCGAGGAUCCGAGCGUUAUCCGGAUUUAUUGGGUUUAAAGGGAGCAUAAAUGGAUGUUUAAGUCAUUUGUGAAAGUUUGCGGCUCAACCGUAAAAUUGCACUUGAUACUGGAUAUCUUGAGUGCAGUUGAUGCAAGCGGAAUUCGUGGUGUACCGAUGAAAUGCUUAAAUAUCACGAAGAACUCCGAUUGCGAAGGCAGCCUGCUAAGCUGCAACUGACAAUUGAGGCUCGAAAGUGUGGGUAUCAAACAGGAUUUGAUACCGUGUGUAGUGCGCACGGUAAACGAUGAAUACUCGAUGUCUGCGAUAUACAGCAAGAGGCCAAGAAGCAAGCGUUAAGUAUUGCACGUGGGGAGUACGCAGGCAACGGUGAAACUCAAAGGAAUUGACGGGGGCCCGCACAAGCGGAGGAACAUGUGGUUUAAUUGGAUGAUACGCGAGGAUCCUUACCUGGGUUUAAAUUGCAGAUGAAUUAUGGUGAAAGCCGUAACAGACAAGGCAUCUGUGAAGGUGUUGCAUUGUUGUCGUCAGGUGGUACCGUGAGGUGUCGGCUUAAGUGCCAUAACGAGCGCUACCCUUGAUGUCACAUAUAAAGCAGGUUACUCUGAGGAGUCUGACAGGGAUACCAUGGUAAGAGGUGAGGAAGGUGGGGAAGUCGUCAAAUCAGCUCGGCCCUUACGUCCGGGGCUACACACGUGUUACAAUGGGGGGGUACAGAGGGCCGAUGCCACGCGAGUGGAUGCCAAUCCCAAAACCCUUUGUCAGUUCGGACUGGAGUCUGCAACCCGAAUCCAAGAAGCUGGAUUCGCUAGUAAUCGAGCAUCAGCCACGGCGCGGUGAAUACUUUCCCGGGCCUUGUACACCCCGCCAGUCAAGCCAUGGGAGCCGGGGGUACCUGAAGUGCGUAUAAGGAAGGAGCGCCCUAGGGUAAAACUGGUGACUGGGGUGAAGU
RNAcentral lists this ribosomal RNA (1445 nucleotides) under uncultured organism. RNAcentral's name for it is "16S ribosomal RNA". It matches the Rfam family "Bacterial small subunit ribosomal RNA". The record is from RNAcentral.